Molecule: ribosomal RNA, 253 nt
Filed under: uncultured bacterium
Lineage: Bacteria
Description: partial 16S ribosomal RNA
Rfam family: Bacterial small subunit ribosomal RNA
Source: RNAcentral
UACAGAGACUGCAAGCGUUAUUCGGAUUCACUGGGCGUAAAGGGUGCGCAGGCGGCCGUGUGUGUAUGGUGUGAAGUCCCGAGGCUCAACCUCGGAACUGCGCCUUAAACUACAUGGCUAGGGUAUUGGAGAGGGUAGCGGAAUUCACGGUGUAGCAGUGAAAUGCGUAGAUAUCGUGAGGAACACCAGAGGCGAAGGCGGUUACCUGGACAAUUACUGACGCUCAGGCACGAAAGCAUGGGGAGCAAAAGGG